AGACAACCCUCAACAACGGAUAACUUGGCUCGUGCAACGAUGAAGAACGCAGCGAAAUGCGAUACGUAGUGUGAAUUGCAGACUCACGUGAACCAUCGAAUCUUUGAACGCACAUUGCGCUCGAGCCUUCGGGCGAGAGCACUUCUGCCUGAGCGACGGUU
This 161-nucleotide ribosomal RNA is filed under the name Pedinomonas tuberculata. RNAcentral describes it as "5.8S ribosomal RNA". It matches the Rfam family "5.8S ribosomal RNA". Rfam says of the family: 5.8S ribosomal RNA (5.8S rRNA) is a component of the large subunit of the eukaryotic ribosome. Lineage: Eukaryota; Viridiplantae; Chlorophyta; Pedinophyceae; Pedinomonadales; Pedinomonadaceae. The record is from RNAcentral.